Molecule: ribosomal RNA, 253 nt
Filed under: uncultured bacterium
Lineage: Bacteria
Description: partial 16S ribosomal RNA
Rfam family: Bacterial small subunit ribosomal RNA
Source: RNAcentral
UACGGAGGGGGUUAGCGUUGUUCGGAAUGACUGGGCGUAAAGCGCGCGUAGGCGGAUCGUUAAGUCGGGGGUGAAAUCCCGGGGCUCAACCCCGGAAUGGCCUUCGAUACUGGCGGUCUUGAGUUCGAGAGAGGUGAGUGGAAUUCCGAGUGUAGAGGUGAAAUUCGUAGAUAUUCGCAAGAACACCAGUGGCGAAGGCGGCUCACUGGCUCGGUACUGACGCUGAGGUGCGAAAGCGUGGGGAGCAAACAGG